This 252-nucleotide ribosomal RNA is filed under the name uncultured bacterium. Its description in RNAcentral is "partial 16S ribosomal RNA". It matches the Rfam family "Bacterial small subunit ribosomal RNA", at positions 524 to 776 of the family's 1533-position model. The record is from RNAcentral.
UACGUAGGGGGCAAGCGUUGUCCGGAUUUACUGGGCGUAAAGCGCGCGUAGGCGGGAGGUGAAGUCCGGUGGGAAAGCCCACGGCUCAACCGUGGAAGAACGCUGGAAACUCACCUUCUUGAGGGCGGCAGAGGGAAGUGGAAUUGCUGGUGUAGCGGUGAAAUGCGUAGAUAUCAGCAGGAACACCCGUGGCGAAGGCGGCUUCCUGGGCCGCCCCUGACGCUGAGGCGCGAAAGCGUGGGAGCGAACGGG